Molecule: ribosomal RNA, 468 nt
Filed under: uncultured bacterium
Lineage: Bacteria
Description: partial 16S ribosomal RNA
Rfam family: Bacterial small subunit ribosomal RNA
Source: RNAcentral
GACGAACGCUGGCGGCGUGCUUAACACAUGCAAGUCGAACGGAAAGGCCCUGCUUUUGUGGGGUGCUCGAGUGGCGAACGGGUGAGUAACACGUGAGUAACCUGCCCUUGACUUUGGGAUAACUUCAGGAAGCUGGGGCUAAUACCGGAUAGGAGCUCCUGCUGCAUGGUGGGGGUUGGAAAGUUUCGGCGGUUGGGGAUGGACUCGCGGCUUAUCAGCUUGUUGGUGGGGUAGUGGCUUACCAAGGCUUUGACGGGUAGCCGGCCUGAGAGGGUGACCGGCCACAUUGGGACUGAGAUACGGCCCAGACUCCUACGGGAGGCAGCAGUGGGGAAUAUUGCACAAUGGGCGGAAGCCUGAUGCAGCAACGCCGCGUGCGGGAUGACGGCCUUCGGGUUGUAAACCGCUUUCGCCUGUGACGAGGCGUGAGUGACGGUAAUGGGUAAAGAAGCACCGGCUAACUACGUG